This 468-nucleotide ribosomal RNA is filed under the name uncultured bacterium. Its description in RNAcentral is "partial 16S ribosomal RNA". It matches the Rfam family "Bacterial small subunit ribosomal RNA", at positions 28 to 507 of the family's 1533-position model. The record is from RNAcentral.
GAUGAACGCUGGCGGCGUGCUCAACACUUGCAAGUCGAACGGAACGGCCCAAGCUUGGUUGGGUACUCGAGUGGCGAACGGGUGCGUAACACGUGGGUGAUCUGCCCUGCACUUCGGGAUAACUCUGGGAAACUGGGUCUAAUAUCGGAUAGGACCACGGCUUGGAUGCUACUGUGGCUAGUCUUUCCGGUGUGGGAUGAGCUCGCGGCCUCUCAGCUUGUUGGUGGGGUAAUGGCCUACCAAGGCGUUUACGGGUAGCCGGCCUGAGAGAGUGUACGGCCACAUUGGGACUGAGAUACGGCCCAGACUCCUACGCGAGGCAGCAGUGGGGAAGAUUGCACAAUGGGCGCAAGCCUGAUGCAGCGACGCCGCGUGGGCGAUGACGGCCUUCGGGUUGUAAACUCCUCUCGCUACGGACGAAGCGUUUUUGUGACGGUACCUGGAGAAGAAGCACCGGCUAACUACGUG